CGUGUAGGUGGCACGUCAAGUCUGCCGUGAAAGCGCCCGGCUUAACCGGGCAGGGUCGGUGGAAACUGGCGGGCUGGAGGACGGUAGAGGCCGAUGGAAUUCCUGGUGUAGUGGAGAAAUGCGUAGAGAUCGGGAGGAACACCAGUGGCGAAGGCGGUCGGCUGGGCCGGUCCUGACACUGAGACGCGAAGGCGUGGGGAGCGAACG
RNAcentral lists this ribosomal RNA (207 nucleotides) under uncultured bacterium. Its description in RNAcentral is "partial 16S ribosomal RNA". It matches the Rfam family "Bacterial small subunit ribosomal RNA", at positions 568 to 774 of the family's 1533-position model. The record is from RNAcentral.